UAAAAAGAAUGCUGGCGAUGAUAUUGAGUCUCCAACGUUGAAUUCUUUUGCAAAAGAUAUUCUCCGAGAAUGUGGAGGCCUGCCUAUAGCUCUUGUAACGGUUGGAAGGGCAAUGAGAGGCAAACAUCCUGACGAGUGGCAAGUGGCAGUUGAGAAGCUUAGGAAAUCACAGCCACAAAUCAUUGAAGGGAUGCAUAAAGAUG
RNAcentral lists this unclassified non-coding RNA (203 nucleotides) under Hevea brasiliensis (rubber tree). Lineage: Eukaryota; Viridiplantae; Streptophyta; Magnoliopsida; Malpighiales; Euphorbiaceae. The record is from RNAcentral.